This is a non-coding RNA of Phrynosoma platyrhinos (Desert horned lizard), 74 nucleotides long. NCBI's taxonomy places the organism in Eukaryota, Metazoa, Chordata, Lepidosauria, Squamata, Phrynosomatidae. The record is from the annotation of a GenBank genome assembly.
UUUUGUAUGUGCUGUAGUAGUUUGAGUGUUGGACUAUGACUCUGGAGAUCAGGGUUCGAUUCCCUGUUCGAGCA